Molecule: ribosomal RNA, 858 nt
Filed under: uncultured organism
Description: bacterial SSU rRNA
Rfam family: Bacterial small subunit ribosomal RNA
Source: RNAcentral
UUAUUGACAUUAGCUCAUGAAUAAGGGGCUCCCAACUCUGUGCCAGCAGGAGCGGUAAUACAGAGGCCUCAAGCGUUAUCCGGAUUCACUGGGCGUAAAGGGUGCGUAGGCGGUUAUAUUAGUCGGGUGUAAAAUCCUAGGGCUCAACCUUAGGCUCGCGUUCGAAACGGUAUAACUAGGAGUAGUGAGAGGUGAACAGAACUCACGGUGUAGGGGUGAAAUCCGUUGAUAUCGUGGGGAAUACCAAAUGCGAAGGCAGUUCACUGGCGCUUACUCGACGCUGAGGCACGAAAGCGUGGGUAGCGAACGGGAUUAGAUACCCCGGUAGUCCACGCCCUAAACGCUGUCCGCUGGCUUUAGGGAGAAUCGACCCUCCCUGAGGCGAAGGUAACCCGUUAAGCGGACCGCCUGGGUAGUACGAGCGCAAGCUUAAAACUCAAAGGAAUAGACGGGGGCUCGCACAAGCGGUGGAUCAUGAGGCUUAAUUCGUCGAUAAGCGAAAAACCUUACCCAGGCUAGAAACCAUACUGCACGCUCUCCGAAAGGAGAGAAUCCUUCGAGGGUGUAUGGCAGGUGAUGCAUGGCCGUCGUCAGUUCGUGGCUUGAGCUGUUCCCUUAAGUGGGGAAACGAACGCAACCCUCGUUGCCUGUUACAAGUGUCAGGCGAGACUGCUCCCUCACGGGAGAGGAAGGUGAGGAUGACGCCAGGUCAGCAUGUCCCUUGAUGCCUGGGGCUGCACUCGUGAUACAAUGGGAUGUACAAAGGGACGCAAUACAGUAAUGUGGAGCAAAUCCUGAUAAAACAUUCCUCAGUUCGGAUUGAGGGCUGCAACUCGCCCUCAUGAAGCCGGAAUCGCU